GAAACACUGUGCCGGUUGCUUGGAAAAAUAUAAACAUGGCGGAAUGACAACAACAGUUGCCAAGCUCAUAUUGGUCGAUAAACUCGAUAUUUGCAGGAGUUUUCAAGCAAAUAUAAUUUGUCAAGCUAUUUGUAUUACUUUAACGAGUAUUACUGCCUAAUGCUGUGAGCUAGGAGAUCUCAUCGUCGUAAGUCUGGAGAAAACAUUGUCUAAAAUCCACUUUUUGACUUUAUAAACUGCAGAGCAUCAUCGAAAAACAUGAGUGAGCAAUUGAAGUUUAUAGUCGACAAUCUCAACCAGAAACCAUUUAAUAAAAGCUACAAUUUGAUAAGGUAGGUGAUUUUUUAUUCUCAUUGCUGGAUAACAUUCUUUCGUUUUGUUGUGAAAGGAGGCAAAAAUAAAUUGUUGGAUUUAAUAGGUUUUGUAGGGGAA
Non-coding RNA from Paramuricea clavata, 432 nucleotides. Lineage: Eukaryota; Metazoa; Cnidaria; Anthozoa; Malacalcyonacea; Plexauridae. The record is from the annotation of a GenBank genome assembly.